UACGAAGGGGGCUAGCGUUGCUCGGAAUCACUGGGCGUAAAGGGUGCGUAGGCGGUCGGGUAAGUCUGAUGUGAAAUCUCACAGCUUAACUGUGAAACUGCAUUGGAUACUAUCCGGCUUGAGGAAUGGAGGGGAGACUGGAAUACUUGGUGUAGCAGUGAAAUGCGUAGAUAUCAAGUGGAACACCAGUGGCGAAGGCGAGUCUCUGGACAUUUCCUGACGCUGAGGCACGAAAGCCAGGGGAGCAAACGGG
This 253-nucleotide ribosomal RNA is filed under the name uncultured bacterium. RNAcentral's name for it is "partial 16S ribosomal RNA". It matches the Rfam family "Bacterial small subunit ribosomal RNA", at positions 524 to 776 of the family's 1533-position model. The record is from RNAcentral.